UACAGAGGGUGCAAGCGUUGUUCGGAAUUAUUGGGCGUAAAGGGCGCGUAGGCGGUGCGGUAAGUCUGUAGUGAAAUCUCUGGGCUCAACUCAGAGUCUGCUGCAGAAACUGCCGUGCUUGAGUGUGGGAGAGGUGAGUGGAAUUCCCGGUGUAGCGGUGAAAUGCGUAGAUAUCGGGAGGGACACCUGUGGCGAAAGCGGCUCACUGGACCACAACUGACGCUGAGGCGCGAAAGCUAGGGGAGCAAACAGG
Molecule: ribosomal RNA, 253 nt
Filed under: uncultured bacterium
Lineage: Bacteria
Description: partial 16S ribosomal RNA
Rfam family: Bacterial small subunit ribosomal RNA
Source: RNAcentral